AAGACCAAAGCUAUAUACCUUUGAGAUGCCCUGAUAGGUCUGAGGGACUACUCGGGGAAACCAUAAUACUUUCAAUUCCACAAAGUCCUUGAGCUCACAAGAUGGUCCAAGCCAGAACUUCGAGGCUGAGAACUAGGAUAAACAAGCUAUCCAGAAUCAAGGCUGCCUCUGCUGAGGGCAGCCAGCCUACCUUAAGGUGACAUGGAAAGGCAUGUGAAUUCUUUUCAAAAUCACUUGUUUACACAUCCAGGUGUUCUGUGGGUGAGAAGGAAUCAGGUUAUAGUGAAGGAUGGGCACAUGUCCUAAGUCUAUCUAAUCCCCAACUCUUCAGCCCAUGUGGCAAUGACCACCUCGAACACCUCUCCAUUGGAGGUGAAGCUGGAGGGAUCUGCCAGCUGCCACUUCACAAGAGGAGGGGAGCCCACUUGGGAAUGGAAACCAAACAGAAAACACAUUUAUUCAAGUUGAGAGGGGAAAAAUAUCUUGAUGACAUCCUCUGACCCCCUGUAUGGAGCCACAUCUGAAGGUUGAUUACUCAUGGAGUUUUCAGUUAUAUGAGUCAAUAAAUUCCCUUUUUGCUUAA
This is a long non-coding RNA of Suricata suricatta (meerkat), 583 nucleotides long. RefSeq lists it as uncharacterized. The transcript has 3 exons. The record is from RefSeq and is a predicted model, not a curated record. Lineage: Eukaryota; Metazoa; Chordata; Mammalia; Carnivora; Herpestidae.